Molecule: non-coding RNA, 21 nt
Filed under: Arabidopsis thaliana (thale cress)
Lineage: Eukaryota; Viridiplantae; Streptophyta; Magnoliopsida; Brassicales; Brassicaceae
Source: RNAcentral
CAAUGGCUGCCACUGGAUUUA